Molecule: ribosomal RNA, 254 nt
Filed under: uncultured bacterium
Lineage: Bacteria
Description: partial 16S ribosomal RNA
Rfam family: Bacterial small subunit ribosomal RNA
Source: RNAcentral
UACGAGAGGCCCAACCGUUAUUCGGAAUUACUGGGCUUAAAGAGUUCGUAGGCGGCGCAGAAAGUAGGGUGUGAAAGCCCUCGGCUCAACCGAGGAAUUGCGCUCUAAACUACUGUGCUUGAGGAAUCUAGAGGUGAGCGGAACUGAUGGUGGAGCGGUGAAAUGCGUUGAUAUAUAGAGGAACACCAAUUGGCGAAGGCAGUUAACUAUUCGGUUUCUGACGUUGAGGCACGAAAGCGUGGGGAGCAAGACGG